AUUGAACGCUGGCGGCAGGCUUAACACAUGCAAGUCGAGCGGAGAGAGGUAGCUUGCUACUGAUCUUAGCGGCGGACGGGUGAGAAAUGCUUAGGAAUCUGCCUAUUAGUGGGGGACAACAUCUCGAAAGGGAUGCUAAUACCGCAUACGUCCUACGGGAGAAAGCAGGGGAUCACUUGUGACCUUGCGCUAAUAGAUGAGCCUAAGUCGGAUUAGCUAGUUGGUGGGGUAAAGGCCUACCAAGGCGACGAUCUGUAGCGGGUCUGAGAGGAUGAUCCGCCACACUGGGACUGAGACACGGCCCAGACUCCUACGGGAGGCAGCAGUGGGGAAUAUUGGACAAUGGGGGGAACCCUGAUCCAGCCAUGCCGCGUGUGUGAAGAAGGCCUUAUGGUUGUAAAGCACUUUAAGCGAGGAGGAGGCUCUUUUGGUUAAUACCCAAGAUGAGUGGACGUUACUCGCAGAAUAAGCACCGGCUAACUCUGUGCCAGCCGCCGCAGUAA
Molecule: ribosomal RNA, 503 nt
Filed under: uncultured bacterium
Lineage: Bacteria
Description: partial 16S ribosomal RNA
Rfam family: Bacterial small subunit ribosomal RNA
Source: RNAcentral